RNAcentral lists this long non-coding RNA (1342 nucleotides) under Dicentrarchus labrax (European seabass). RNAcentral describes it as "lncRNA (ENSDLAG00005028752.1)". The record is from RNAcentral. Lineage: Eukaryota; Metazoa; Chordata; Actinopteri; Moronidae.
AACUCUCAAAAACCAGCGUUCAUCAGACUCCCACUGCCAUGAUUAAAGAUGCUGGAGAAGACAUCCUGAUGAACUGCAACCAUUCAAACACUGAUUUUAAUAUGAUCCAGUGGUACAAACAGUCUGCUGGGGAAAAUGAUAUGGCUUUAAUUGGUUAUGUACGAUUCACUUCUGCGGUUGUUGAAGAUAAAUUCAAAGACUCUUAUAAUGUGAGCGGUCAUGGAUCAAGUCUGGCACAUCUUCAUAUUCCAAAGAGUCGAUCCGAGAACAGCGCAGUGUAUUUCUGUGCAGCCAGUAGAGCACAGUGCUACACAAACCCUCCGUCUUUAACAAAAACCUUCUCUGACGCAGCCAGUUACAGAAAUUACCACUUGAACCACAUUGUGAAUGACUGAUAGACAGCUGGUGCACCAUGAGACAGGUAGAUUCUUAGUUUAUCCAUUAGGGUGCAGUGUUUUUCCAGAUCUGUUGAUGUUGAAUUCGAUGUUGUUGUUGAAUUUAAUCAAUUCUAUAUACGUGUAGUUUAUAUGGUGAAUAUUACUAAUUCAACAUUUUAACAUUUUUAACAGCAAUUCAACAAUUCAUGGACUGAAGAGACUGUGUUUUGUUUGGUCUUUAAAACAGCAGUAACAUCACAUAAAAUGUAUUUGUUAUUAUUAACACUGCUAUUUAUUACUUCCUUGAGGUGGCAGUGUGUAUUUUACCCCCAGCGGCGUGUAAUGGUAACUGGCAUGAUGGUUUUAAUAUUUAGAAAAGGAGGAUAUGAUGUUGUUUUUCUGAUAGGAGGACUUAAUCAGAAAGGGAGGAGGGAAUCCUCUGUAUACCAGCAUAGUGAAGAAAACAGCACCAGAAACAAGACUGACUUUGAAAACACAACAUGAUGAUCAUUGUCUGCUGCAUAACCUUGAAUGUUAUACUGGUUUCAGGUUCCUCUCUAAAUGAACUAGUCUACCAGAAUCCAGCCCACACUUUCAACAAACCUGAAGGAGCAGCUAAAAUUGAGUGUUCACACAGUAUUCAAAACUAUGAUACAAUCCUCUGGUACAAGAAAUCAAAGAACAGACAGCUGCAGUUGCUUGGAUACAUGGUGGGAGGCAGUGGAUCUCCAGAGAAGGGAGUGAAUGUGAAGAUAGCAGGGAGUGCAAAUAAAGACCAAAACUGCACAUUAACAAUUGAAGAACUCCAGCUGAACAGCAGUGCAGUGUACUUCUGUGCUGCUAGUUUACACAGUGCUACAUAUCACUGCUCCUCAGUACAAAAACCUCCACAACACAUUUUGUCAUCUCGCUACUACAGCUCACAGCCUCUUGCACCUGUAUGCUUUCCUUUUAUGAGGUGGUGA